Solanum pennellii is the source of this 414-nucleotide RNA transcript. RefSeq lists it as uncharacterized. The record is from RefSeq and is a predicted model, not a curated record. The transcript is spliced from 2 exons. NCBI's taxonomy places the organism in Eukaryota, Viridiplantae, Streptophyta, Magnoliopsida, Solanales, Solanaceae.
CUUUCAAAUUCUUUUUAUUAGGCAAUUUUCCAAAUAUUUUUUUAUUACAAACAUAGAAAAAAAAAUGGAUGCUCCUCCAAAAUAUCAAAAUAUGUCAUAUUAUGAUAAUGUCCAAAGGCAACAUGAAGAAAAAGGAUGCCUCUAUGCUUGUAUGUUUGCGAUGUGUUGCUGCUUCUGCUGCAAUGGAAGGACUUGUUGUUGCUGUUAGCACAAAUUAAUCAUCGUCGUCGUUGAUUAUGUUAUUCAGACUCUUUAAAAAUAUUAUAUGAUGUGUACGUUUUUUUUUUAAAUUAUGUAUUUUUAUAUGAUUCGAUAUGAAUACAAUAACAAUAUUUAAGAAUUCGAGCAAAAUAGAUGCAGAGUAGCUUGUAACGUUGAUGUUUCAAUAAAAUUGGAUGUUAAUUGAUUAUGCUA